This 374-nucleotide ribosomal RNA is filed under the name uncultured organism. RNAcentral's name for it is "partial 16S ribosomal RNA". It matches the Rfam family "Bacterial small subunit ribosomal RNA", at positions 527 to 897 of the family's 1533-position model. The record is from RNAcentral.
GUAGGUGGCAAGCGUUGUCCGGAAUUAUUGGGCGUAAAGCGCGCGCAGGCGGUUCUUUAAGUCUGAUGUGAAAGCCCACGGCUCAACCGUGGAGGGUCAUUGGAAACUGGAGAACUUGAGUACAGAAGAGGAAAGCGGAAUUCCACGUGUAGCGGUGAAAUGCGUAGAGAUGUGGAGGAACACCAGUGGCGAAGGCGGCUUUCUGGUCUGUAACUGACGCUGAGGCGCGAAAGCGUGGGGGAGCAAACAGGAUUAGAUACCCUGGUAGUCCACGCCGUAAACGAUGAGUGCUAAGUGUUAGGGGGUUUCCCGCCCCUUAGUGCUGCAGCUAACGCAUUAAGCACUCCGCCUGGGGAGUACGGCCGCAAGGCUGA